Molecule: ribosomal RNA, 650 nt
Filed under: uncultured bacterium
Lineage: Bacteria
Description: bacterial SSU rRNA
Rfam family: Bacterial small subunit ribosomal RNA
Source: RNAcentral
CAUUAAAGAGAGCAAUUUUGGUUACAGACGAGCAUGCGCUCCAUUAGCCAGUUGGCGGGGUAACGGCCCACCAAAGCGACGGUGGAUAGGGGUUCUGAGAGGAAGGUCCCCCACAUUGGAACUGAGACACGGUCCAAACUCCUACGGGAGGCAGCAGUGAGGAAUAUUGGUCAAUGGUCGGCAGACUGAACCAGCCAAGUCGCGUGAGGGAAGACGGCCCUACGGGUUGUAAACCUCUUUUGUCGGAGAGUAAAGUACGCUACGCGUAGCGUAUUGCAAGUAUCCGAAGAAAAAGCAUCGGCUAACUCCGUGCCAGCAGCCGCGGUAAUACGGAGGAUGCGAGCGUUAUCCGGAUUUAUUGGGUUUAAAGGGUGCGUAGGCGGCACGCCAAGUCAGCGGUGAAAUUUCCGGGCUCAACCCGGAGUGUGCCGUUGAAACUGGCGAGCUAGAGUGCACAAGAGGCAGGCGGAAUGCGUGGUGUAGCGGUGAAAUGCAUAGAUAUCACGCAGAACCCCGAUUGCGAAGGCAGCCUGCUAGGGUGCGACAGACGCUGAGGCACGAAAGCGUGGGUAUCGAACAGGAUUAGAUACCCUGGUAGUCCACGCAGUAAACGAUGAAUACUAACUGUUUGCGAUACAAUGUAAGCGGUA